RNAcentral lists this long non-coding RNA (848 nucleotides) under Cyanistes caeruleus (blue tit). RNAcentral's name for it is "lncRNA (ENSCCEG00000000301.1)". Lineage: Eukaryota; Metazoa; Chordata; Aves; Passeriformes; Paridae. The record is from RNAcentral.
AGCACCUGCAGGAGCUGAAGAGGAAAGCGGGACAGAGCGUGUAUGACAGUGGCAUCGAUGAGCUGGAGAGUGCCAGCACGUCCCCAGGCAGCAGCCUCAGCUCCAGUGAGGAGCACCUCAACACUCCAGCUGACACUUACCCCACCAAAGCAAAGCUUGGAGACACGCAGGAGCUGGAGGAGUUCAUCGCAGACCUGGAUAAAGCCUUGCAGGAGAUGUGAGCUGUGCUGUGGAGAGGAGCAGCCCCAGCCCCGAGCGUCCCCGGUGCCACCUCUGCUUCUGCACCCCUGGCUGGGGACAGGGACGGGCAGCGGGGUGUGGGAUGAUGGCACAGCCCUGCCAGCGCCAGGAGGGGACAGCUCUGCGCAGGCUCCGGGGACUUUGGGGUGACCUGGGCCACUGCUGAAGCCCCCAGAGUGAUUCUGGGGAAGAUGAUCUUGCAGGACAUCGAUGUGACCUCGGUGUCCCCCCCAGGCCGGGAGGGCCCAUCCUUGGUGGCAUCUGCCACUGCUGAGCUCUGCUUUGCAUGGGGAGCCCCAAGUUGGGCUCCUCUCUGCCCCCCAAGUGCCUCUGCCCCAGCUGCUGCUGUAAAUACUGUAAAAACGAUGUUUUGUGCUGUACAGAGGGGACGUGGUUCUGGAAACAAGAUUUUAAACCUCUGCCUGUGUCUGUCUUUGUCCCUCUGGCAGGGGUGGGAGCAGGGAUGCCUGGGCUGGUGGGAUGGGCACUAGAAAAGGGGGAACCUCAGGGAAGCGAGUUCAGCAUGCCUGGCUAAAGGGGAACGUGAGGAACCCCUUGUCCUCCCUCCCCCUUGGGAGAGCUGCAGUCUCUCCCUUUCUGCACCUGCC